This 383-nucleotide long non-coding RNA is filed under the name Capsella grandiflora. RNAcentral describes it as "long non-coding RNA (CGRA_LNC001094)". Lineage: Eukaryota; Viridiplantae; Streptophyta; Magnoliopsida; Brassicales; Brassicaceae. The record is from RNAcentral.
AGGACAUGAAGAAAGUGUUUGGAGAUAUGGAACAACAAGAUCGUUAUGUCGAUUCUUUCUUGGACUAUCUCGUUGCUCAUCGUAAGAAUUGAGCUGGACCGAUCAAUUCGACUGGAAGAUAUUGACAUGGAAGAGUCUCUGAUCAAACGUGUGUGUUUCUGUUAUGUUGCUUGCAGCUUAAUCUUUUUUGUUUUUCUUUUCAAAAAUUGAUCUUCUUGAUCAUUGAUCGCUUAAACUAAGUACUUUCAUGAGAUUUCAAAAUAAAAUGUAGCAUCGAUUCUAUCUUAAUAAAAGCGUAUCCAAAAAUGUUCUUUUGUUUCCAUCAUCUUUUCAAUAUGGCUUUACUUUUCGGUAACGUAAAAAUGCUUCUUGUAAUUAGAGUG